This 465-nucleotide ribosomal RNA is filed under the name uncultured bacterium. Its description in RNAcentral is "bacterial SSU rRNA". It matches the Rfam family "Bacterial small subunit ribosomal RNA", at positions 330 to 793 of the family's 1533-position model. The record is from RNAcentral.
GCCAGACUCCUACGGGAGGCAGCAGUGAGGAAUAUUGGUCAAUGGUCGGGAGACUGAACCAGCCAAGCCGCGUGAGGGAUGAAGGUACAGAGUAUCGUAAACCUCUUUUGUCAAGGAACAAAGGCGGGGACGUGUCCCCGGAUGAGUGUACCUGAAGAAAAAGCAUCGGCUAACUCCGUGCCAGCAGCCGCGGUAAUACGGAGGAUGCGAGCGUUAUCCGGAUUUAUUGGGUUUAAAGGGUGCGCAGGCGGAAUGUCAAGUCAGCGGUAAAAUUUCGGGGCUCAACUCCGUCGUGCCGUUGAAACUGGCGUUCUUGAGUGAGCGAGAAGUAUGCGGAAUGCGCGGUGUAGCGGUGAAAUGCAUAGAUAUCGCGCAGAACUCCGAUUGCGAAGGCAGCAUGCCGGCUCCACACUGACGCUGAGGCACGAAAGCGUGGGUAUCGAACAGGAUUAGAUACCCGAGUAC